This 465-nucleotide ribosomal RNA is filed under the name Vreelandella stevensii. RNAcentral describes it as "partial 16S ribosomal RNA". It matches the Rfam family "Bacterial small subunit ribosomal RNA", at positions 338 to 795 of the family's 1533-position model. The record is from RNAcentral. Lineage: Bacteria; Pseudomonadati; Pseudomonadota; Gammaproteobacteria; Oceanospirillales; Halomonadaceae.
CCUACGGGUGGCUGCAGUGGGGAAUAUUGGACAAUGGGGGCAACCCUGAUCCAGCCAUGCCGCGUGUGUGAAGAAGGCCCUCGGGUUGUAAAGCACUUUCAGUGAGGAAGAACGCCUGGUGGUUAAUACCCAUCAGGAAAGACAUCACUCACAGAAGAAGCACCGGCUAACUCCGUGCCAGUAGCCGCGGUAAUACGGAGGGUGCGAGCGUUAAUCGGAAUUACUGGGCGUAAAGCGCGCGUAGGUGGCUUGAUAAGCCGGUUGUGAAAGCCCCGGGCUCAACCUGGGAACGGCAUCCGGAACUGUCAAGCUAGAGUGCAGGAGAGGAAGGUAGAAUUCCCGGUGUAGCGGUGAAAUGCGUAGAGAUCGGGAGGAAUACCAGUGGCGAAGGCGGCCUUCUGGACUGACACUGACACUGAGGUGCGAAAGCGUGGGUAGCAAACAGGAUUAGAUACCCUUGUAGUC